This 504-nucleotide ribosomal RNA is filed under the name uncultured bacterium. RNAcentral's name for it is "bacterial SSU rRNA". It matches the Rfam family "Bacterial small subunit ribosomal RNA", at positions 28 to 484 of the family's 1533-position model. The record is from RNAcentral.
GAUGAACGCUGGCGGCGUGCCUAAUACAUGCAAGUCGAACGCAUUGUGGUUGAAAUGAUAUGAAGAACUUGUUCAGAUUUGAUUUUCAACAUUGCAAUGAGUGGCGAACGGGUGAGUAACACGUGGGAAACCUACCUCUUAGCAGGGGAUAACAUUUGGAAACAAAUGCUAAUACCGUAUAAUAAUUAAAAACCGCAUGGUUUUAGUUUAAAAGAUGGUCUUGCUAUCACUAAGAGGUGGUCCCGCGGUGUAUUAGUUAGUUGGUGAGGUAAUGGCUCACCAAGACAAUGAUACAUAGCCGAGUUGAGAGACUGACCGGCCACAAUGGGACUGAGACACGGCCCAUACUCCUACGGGAGGCAGCAGUAGGGAAUCUUCCACAAUGGACGAAAGUACUGAUGGAGCAACGCCGCGUGUGUGAUGAAGGGUUUCGGCUCGUAAAACACUGUUGUAAGAGAAGAAUGACAUUGAGAGUAACUGUUCAAUGUGUGACGGUAUCUUACC